ACGGGAGGCAGCAGUGGGGAAUCUUGCGCAAUGGGCGAAAGCCUGACGCAGCAACGCCGCGUGCGGGAUGAAGGCCCUCGGGUUGUAAACCGCUUUCAGUGGGGACGAACCAAGACGGUACCCACAGAAGAAGGUCCGGCCAACUACGUGCCAGCAGCCGCGGUAACACGUAGGGACCAAGCGUUGUCCGGAUUCAUUGGGCGUAAAGAGCUCGUAGGCGGCUCAGUAAGUCGGGUGUGAAACCUCCAGGCUCAACCUGGAGACGCCACCCGAUACUGCUGUGGCUAGAGUCCAGUAGGGGAGCGUGGAAUUCCUGGUGUAGCGGUGAAAUGCGCAGAUAUCAGGAGGAACACCAGCGGCGAAGGCGGCGCUCUGGGCUGGAACUGACGCUGAGGAGCGAAAGCGUGGGGAGCGAACAGGAUUAGAUACCCUGGUA
Molecule: ribosomal RNA, 436 nt
Filed under: uncultured Acidimicrobiales bacterium
Lineage: Bacteria; Bacillati; Actinomycetota; Acidimicrobiia; Acidimicrobiales
Description: bacterial SSU rRNA
Rfam family: Bacterial small subunit ribosomal RNA
Source: RNAcentral